Molecule: ribosomal RNA, 623 nt
Filed under: Massilia sp. So1Pw_966
Lineage: Bacteria; Pseudomonadati; Pseudomonadota; Betaproteobacteria; Burkholderiales; Oxalobacteraceae
Description: bacterial SSU rRNA
Rfam family: Bacterial small subunit ribosomal RNA
Source: RNAcentral
CAAUGCCGCGUGAGUGAAGAAGGCCUAUCGGGUUGUAAAGCUCUUUUGUCAGGGAAGAAACGGUGAGGGCUAAUAUCUCUUGCUAAUGACGGUACCUGAAGAAUAAGCACCGGCUAACUACGUGCCAGCAGCCGCGGUAAUACGUAGGGUGCAAGCGUUAAUCGGAAUUACUGGGCGUAAAGCGUGCGCAGGCGGUUUUGUAAGUCUGUCGUGAAAUCCCCGGGCUCAACCUGGGAAUUGCGAUGGAGACUGCAAGGCUAGAAUCUGGCAGAGGGGGGUAGAAUUCCACGUGUAGCAGUGAAAUGCGUAGAGAUGUGGAGGAACACCGAUGGCGAAGGCAGCCCCCUGGGUCAAGAUUGACGCUCAUGCACGAAAGCGUGGGGAGCAAACAGGAUUAGAUACCCUGGUAGUCCACGCCCUAAACGAUGUCUACUAGUUGUCGGGUUUUAAUUAACUUGGUAACGCAGCUAACGCGUGAAGUAGACCGCCUGGGGAGUACGGUCGCAAGAUUAAAACUCAAAGGAAUUGACGGGGACCCGCACAAGCGGUGGAUGAUGUGGAUUAAUUCGAUGCAACGCGAAAAACCUUACCUACCCUUGACAUGUACGGAAGCCACGAGAGAU